RNAcentral lists this transfer RNA (72 nucleotides) under Candidatus Pacearchaeota archaeon. Its description in RNAcentral is "tRNA-Thr". It matches the Rfam family "tRNA". Rfam says of the family: Transfer RNA (tRNA) molecules are approximately 80 nucleotides in length. Their secondary structure includes four short double-helical elements and three loops (D, anti-codon, and T loops). The record is from RNAcentral. Lineage: Archaea; Nanobdellati.
GCCUCUAUAGCUCAGGGGUAGAGCAGUAGUUUUGUAAACUAAAGGUCGGGGGUUCGAAUCCCUCUAGAGGCU